CCUUAGCAGGCGCAAACUCUCUGGAGCUCGCCUUCCUGCUGGCCGCCCCCAGCACCGACGCCCCUGCUUUUUCCCCAUCUCCUUCCUUGGCGCGCUCGCCCAGGUCGCGCGUGUCCCUGCUCGCCCAGGCCGCGACCUCGCCAAACCGCGCAGUCCCUGCUCUCCUUCCCCAGCCGCGCUCAGCCCAGCCCUUCCUCCUUCGCCCUUGUCGAGCUCCCUCAGCUCGCCCCCAACCACAACCGCACGCCAACCUCGCCCUAGGCCAUGGAGCAGCAACAACCAUGGAACCCUUUCGUGUCGCGCCCUCGAUGUGCUCGACGAAAGUUGGUUCGAUGAACGGGUUGGCUAAUCGCGAUGUGUGGAGGAGACAAAUUUCUAGGAUCUGAGGGUAAGAGAAGCCAAGACCUAGAGCGAUGAUCACUAGUUGUUCGGUGAAAAGGACGAACCGGUGAUCGUGGUUGGUCUUGCGAAAUCCGAGUUCUAUUUUAUGUUGGUAAGGUGUUGUGCGGUGUGAUCUCCAAUUCCAUGUUGCUGAUGUCUUGCUCCAUCAUGACCUUAGGAAAGGAUGUUUUCCUCUAAAUUAUCGUAAUAAUUAUGCUGGGUUUAUGUGUUGUUUUAGCAUACAUUGUGAAAAGCAUUUCUUGCUCAGCAGGACAAGGAGGGGCUUUCAUGAAAUAACUUUUGACCACUUAUGUUCCUUUUCCAAAUAUAAAUUAGUUAGAAGUGGGUCUUGGCAAUAAUUAGCUCAUGACUAUUUGUUGUUGGCCCUUUGGCUGCAAUUUCUGAAUAGUUUGAUGUGAAGGGACCUUGCUGAGCUUUGUGUACUUGAUAUUUGAAUAGUUUGGAGAAAGGAUUAAAAUCUACCCUCACUAAUUUUUUAGAUGCCCCUUAAAACUGAUUUUGAGGAGUUAUUUUCUAGGGAGCUCUUGGAGAUGCUCUUAUUCCUAUUGGUACAGAGUAAUAUGUAUAUUGUGUAAUUAAAAUGGCCUUUAUAUGGUAUUGAACAUUUCCCACAAUAAUCUGUAAUCUUUCCAUGAAUUGUUUUCCUAUAUGUGGUAUUAUUAAUUGGCAGUGCUCCUAGACACUGCACAUCCAUUUCCUGUGAAAUUACUAAAAGAUUGCCGGGAAGUGGCAAUGGGACUGUUACUGAUGAAAUUCUAUGAGAAUUAUUGAUUUUGAAGUAACUUCUUUCUGGACUUUUUUGCCAGCCAAUAUUGUUUUCCAUAGAAAAUGGUUUUUGAAUAUUCAUGGCAAAAAUUUAUGGUUUACAAAAUUCCUUCAUUUCAUCUACAGGAAAUCGGGCAGGCUCUACUACCUUUACCUGGCGAUGCUAAAAGCCAACCAGCACUAGCAACAGCGACUCAAUUUGCUGCCACACAAACAUCUGCACUAGCAGAGGACGCUACCGCAGAAGCCACCACGGAAUGAGAUCCUGCAACGUCAACUCCUCUUCCACCUUAUACAAAUUACCCAGAUUGUGGUGCCCGACGAGGUGGGGGCGUCGUUUGAGAGGGCCGAUGAGGCGUCGGAGAAGAAGCAGUCGAACCCGAUGCAGGAGAUGAAGGUCUAGAAGCUCAUGCUCAACAUCUCCAUCGGCGAGAGCGGUGAUCGCCUCACCCGCACCGCCAAG
Zea mays is the source of this 1630-nucleotide long non-coding RNA. RefSeq lists it as uncharacterized. The transcript has 5 exons. NCBI's taxonomy places the organism in Eukaryota, Viridiplantae, Streptophyta, Magnoliopsida, Poales, Poaceae. The record is from RefSeq and is a predicted model, not a curated record.